CGUUUAUGUAACCCGCUGAUGGUGAGUCUUUGUCAAGGUCAAGGUCAUGAUUACGUUCAGCUGCUUGUUAUGCUGCCUCUGAGAAAUUGAAUGUUUCUUCUUUUGGAGGAGCAUGUGCAGCUUUGGGUGACACUGCAAAAGAUGCAACAUCCUUUAUCCUUAACUCAGCCACAGGCUGCAACUCCACAACCAGUGGUCAGAAGUGAUUCAACAGGAAUCCAGUGCUGGAGAUUCAUUAGUAGCAUUUAUAUGCUAUGAAAGCGUGCUAAGUGAAAAUGCAUUGAUCUCUUUUGCCACCAGUCUUGCCACCAAGAACU
Molecule: long non-coding RNA, 317 nt
Organism: Sinocyclocheilus anshuiensis
Lineage: Eukaryota; Metazoa; Chordata; Actinopteri; Cypriniformes; Cyprinidae
Source: Ensembl